This is a long non-coding RNA of Hippocampus zosterae (dwarf seahorse), 991 nucleotides long. RefSeq lists it as uncharacterized. The record is from RefSeq and is a predicted model, not a curated record. The transcript has 2 exons. NCBI's taxonomy places the organism in Eukaryota, Metazoa, Chordata, Actinopteri, Syngnathiformes, Syngnathidae.
GGGCGCGAGGGAAACGUAUAGGCGGGAUUCAAAACAAAGCAUUAAAAAAAACGUACAACACCAACAACACACACACACACAGGAACUCAUCUGGCCGUUGACGGUAAAAAGAGCCGAAGAGGUGAAGUGGAGGCCAGCUGAAUGUCUUCAGUUUUACAAGAGUGGAAAGAGAUGUGACAAUAGCGUUGCCCAACGCAUUGCAGGUGGCGUCGUUACGAGGACAAGGGUGACGCAGCAAACAGCUACCCCGCAACCAAGAACUCCCAACUCGGACGCCGUCUUGCCCCUGCAUGACAUCCACUUACGUGCAAACAAAAGUCCAAGGCGGAACUCGGGUCGGCAGAGGUGAGCAGCAUUGAUUUUACUGACAAGCCAAACGCCAUGUCUCAUUAAUCAUCAGAGACCUGCGUGAGGGAUUUCCUUGACAAAUCCAGAUAAGACCCAUCAAGUUUUGUCUAUGGGGCACACUACACCGAAGGUAAAGAGGGCGUCGCGGAUGCAACCGCUAGUUUGCACAAAUGGCUGAACCUCACAUACAUAAAUAAUACAUGAGUGCAGUGUUCUGUUUCUCCGGAGGAAAUGCUGACCUGGGCACCCCAAUCGAAUAACACCCACAUGUGGAAAACUCUGUUCCGCUGCUGAGUAGAAAGGAAAAAAAAAAGUAAUACCAGAGCAUACUAUGGGACGGAAGUUUAUUGCGUUCACUUUUGUCAUAUUUUUUGUUGCUGUUGUUUUUCAAAGUAUUUUUUUGGAUCGGUUUUUCAGAAGUAACAAAUAACCCAAGCAGCAAGAUUUUUGCCCAGAGAAAACCCACACAAGCAAACUCCACACAGGAAGCCCAGAUUGGAACACUUAAAUGAACUGAGAUCCGGAAGGCAGACAAGCUAAUGACUCAGCUACCACACCACUUGUAUCUGAAGUAUUUUUUUUCUCUACUUUGACCUUUCACCCCUGUAUGACAUGCGGUAGCCCAACUGGCAUACCAGAAGGG